ACUGAACAUAAACUCCUAGCCUUAGCGUCUACGUUGUCUUUUUUGUAUUGGCAAUAUGAUGUUCUGGCCGUGGCCUUAAGCCACCAGGGUGCAAGGUAGAAAUGCCUGCAUCUCCCGUAUUUGGAAAGGUGUUAUGGUACAACUCAC
This is a non-coding RNA of Yersinia pseudotuberculosis IP 31758, 147 nucleotides long. Lineage: Bacteria; Pseudomonadati; Pseudomonadota; Gammaproteobacteria; Enterobacterales; Yersiniaceae. The record is from Rfam.